CGAUAUCUCACCGUCACGGAGGUAAAGGUGGGUAGAAAAACACAAAAAGACCAAUGGAGCAUAAUUUACAAUAAACUCGUUUAUUAACAUGAAAACAUUUACCAUCCACUUACCUCGGUGGAAUUUAUGAAAACAAUAUAAGAAAAAUAAUAACAUUAUCACAAUCAUGGAAUAAUAUAAGCUGUAAAACAUAGCACUUAUCACGCCUUUUGUAAUUCAAUCAUUAUACAACAUAUCUUUUUCUCA
Molecule: long non-coding RNA, 246 nt
Filed under: Carica papaya (papaya)
Lineage: Eukaryota; Viridiplantae; Streptophyta; Magnoliopsida; Brassicales; Caricaceae
Description: long non-coding RNA (CPAP_LNC012602)
Source: RNAcentral